CCCGGGGAAACUCGGAUUAAUACCGCAUACGCCCUUUUGGGGAAAGACGGCCUCUGAUGCAAGCUGUCGCCGAAGGAUGAGCCCGCGUCAGAUUAGCUAGUUGGUGGGGUAAAGGCCUACCAAGGCUGCGAUCUGUAGCUGGUCUGAGAGGAUGAUCAGCCACAUCGGGACUGAGACACGGCCCGAACUCCUACGGGAGGCAGCAGUGGGGAAUCUUGGACAAUGGGCGCAAGCCUGAUCCAGCCAUGCCGCGUGUGUGAAGAAGGCCUUCGGGUUGUAAAGCACUUUCAGCGAGGAGGAAAAGGCAGGUGUUAAUACCACUCUGUUUUGACGGUACUCGCAGAAGAAGCACCGGCUAAUUUCGUGCCAGCAGCCGCGGUAAUACGAAAGGUGCAAGCGUUAAUCGGAAUUACUGGGCGUAAAGGGCGCGUAGGCGGCGUGUUCAGUCGGCUGUGGAAGCCCCGGGCUCAACCCGGGAAUUGCAUCCGAUACUGGCAUGCUAGAGUGCAGUAGAGGGAGGUAGAAUUCCAGGUGUAGCGGUGAAAUGCGUAGAGAUCUGGAGGAAUACCAGUGGCGAAGGCGGCCUCCUGGACUGACACUGACGCUGAGGCGCGAAAGCGUGGGUAGCAAACAGGAUUAGAUACCCUGGUAGUCCACGC
RNAcentral lists this ribosomal RNA (659 nucleotides) under uncultured bacterium. Its description in RNAcentral is "bacterial SSU rRNA". It matches the Rfam family "Bacterial small subunit ribosomal RNA", at positions 147 to 800 of the family's 1533-position model. The record is from RNAcentral.